This 920-nucleotide ribosomal RNA is filed under the name uncultured archaeon. Its description in RNAcentral is "bacterial SSU rRNA". It matches the Rfam family "Archaeal small subunit ribosomal RNA", at positions 1 to 923 of the family's 1478-position model. The record is from RNAcentral.
UUUCCGGUUGAUCCCGCCAGAGGUUACUGCUAUCGAGAUUCGAUUAAGCCAUGCGAGUUGAAUGUUCUUCGUGAACAUGGCGGACCGCUCAGUAACACGUGGACAACCUACCCUUGGAUCUGGGAUAAACCCGGGAAACUGGGCAUAAUACCGGAUAAGCCACAUAUGCUGGAAUGCUUUGUGGCUCAAAGCUCCGGCGUCCAAGGAUGGGUCUGCGGCCUAUCAGGGUAGUAGUGGGUGUAAUGUACCUACUAGCCUACGACGGGUACGGGUUGUGAGAGCAAGAGCCCGGAGAUGGAUUCUGAGACACGGAUCCAGGCCCUACGGGGUGCAGCAGGCGCGAAAACUUUACAAUGCGGGAAACCGCGAUAAGGGAAUCUCGAGUGCCAGCAUAUAAUGUUGGCUGUCCAGAUGCCUAAAAAGCAUUUGUUAGCAAGGGCCGGGCAAGACCGGUGCCAGCCGCCGCGGUAACACCGGCGGCCCGAGUGGUAACCGUUAUUAUUGGGUCUAAAGGGUCUGUAGCCGGCCGAAUAAGUCUCUUGGGAAACCUGGCAGCUUAACUGUCAGGCAGUCAGGGGAUACUGUUCGGCUUGGGACCGGGAGAGGUGAGAGGUACCUCGGGGGUAGGGGUGAAAUCUUGUGAUCCUCGAGGGACCACCAGUGGCGAAGGCGUCUCACCAGAACGGGUCCGACGGUAAGGGAGGAAAGCUAGGGGCACGAACCGGAUUAGAUACCCGGGUAGUCCUAGCCGUAAACGAUGCUUGCUAGGUGUCAGCCACGGUGCGACCGUGGUUGGUGCCGUAGGGAAGCCGUGAAGCGAGCCACCUGGGAAGUACGGCCGCAAGGCUGAAACUUAAAGGAAUUGGCGGGGGAGCACUACAACGGGUGGAGCUGCGGUUUAAUUGGAUUCAACGCCGGGA